AUUGAACGCUGGCGGCAGGCCUAACACAUGCAAGUCGAGCGAGCGGCGGACGGGUGAGGAAUGUCUGGGAACCUGCCUGAUGGAGGGGGAUAACGAAUGGAAACGGUAGUUAAGCACGCAUCCAAUCAGAUGUGCCAAGAUGGGAUUAGCUAGUAGGUGGGGUAAUUGCCAACCUGGUCGACGAUCCCUAGCUGGUCUGAGAGGAUGACCAGCCACACUGGAACUGAGACACGGUCCAGACUCCUACGGGAGGCAGCAGUGGGGAAUAUUGCACAAUGGGCGCAAGCCUGAUGCAGCCAUGCCGCGUGUAUGAAGAAGGCCUUCGGGUUGUAAAGUACUUUCAGUGAGGAGGCGUUACUCGCAGAAGAAGCACCGGCUAACUCCGUGCCAGCAGCCGCGGUAAUAC
Molecule: ribosomal RNA, 406 nt
Filed under: uncultured bacterium
Lineage: Bacteria
Description: partial 16S ribosomal RNA
Rfam family: Bacterial small subunit ribosomal RNA
Source: RNAcentral